CACUGUGCCUCCUCCCUUGUCAUUCGCCACCAUCAAUCCAUCUUUAAAUAUAACCCCUCAUCUUCCCUUUCCUCCCCAGCUGUCUUGUGUAUUUCUGCGUCACACAGCACGCACGAGACACCAGCUCCUCUCGCUCUACUGCUCAACUCAGGCGCGAUGAUUUCUUUGCCCUUCAUGUGGAUUUGGCAAAGGGUUUCUUACAGAGUUUAUUGGCAUUCUGUCCACCUCCUAGUUCCUACAUCAAACGGGGAAGGAAGGGAAAAAAAAAAAAAAAAAACGAUAGAGAAAGACCUGUUUUUCUACGGGGGUAAAAGGAAAACGAGAAAUUCUCCAUGUUUGCGCUUGCUUUGAAGGGAGGUGGGCAUACUGCCAAGUGAGCUCUGUGGGGUUCUCUUUGUGAAAACCCUCGUGAUAUGUAUAUCUCGUCGUGUUAAUCUGGUGUUUACUAGGGUUUCUGCCGGUACUUUAUGCUCCGAGGGAAUCAGAGAUGGGAGGGAUGAAAAGAGCUCCGAGGAGAUGAAACGUCAAGAAGGAUCACCACUCAAGUACCCAGAAAAGCAGAAACUGUUCUUUCUACUAGUGCGAAGUCCCGAAGGUUUUGAGCUCACCGAGUUUACACCAUCAAUGACGGAUGACCAUCUCUUUCAGCUGCUGGUUUGAGCAGAAUCUGGAAGGUCACUCCUAAUCUCUCUCUCUCUCUCUCUCUCUCUCUCUGGUUUUCUGAGAUGAUUACUAGGAGUAGGAUUAUGAUUGAGGGCUGACUAUCGAACACUGAGGUGGAAAGUGAAAACUUCCCUCUUUGCCACA
Rhodamnia argentea is the source of this 807-nucleotide long non-coding RNA. RefSeq lists it as uncharacterized. Lineage: Eukaryota; Viridiplantae; Streptophyta; Magnoliopsida; Myrtales; Myrtaceae. The record is from RefSeq and is a predicted model, not a curated record. The transcript is spliced from 2 exons.